UCGGCUUAGAGUUUGAUCCUGGCUCAGAUUGAACGCUGGCGGAAUGCUUUACACAUGCAAGUCGAACGGCAGCACGGGGGCAACCCUGGUGGCGAGUGGCGAACGGGUGAGUAAUACAUCGGAACGUGCCCAGUCGUGGGGGAUAACGUAGCGAAAGCUACGCUAAUACCGCAUACGAACUCUGGAUGAAAGCGGGGGACCGUAAGGCCUCGCGCGAUUGGAGCGGCCGAUAUCAGAUUAGCUAGUUGGUGGGGUAAAAGCCCACCAAGGCGACGAUCUGUAGCUGGUCUGAGAGGACGACCAGCCACACUGGAACUGAGACACGGUCCAGACUCCUACGGGAGGCAGCAGUGGGGAAUUUUGGACAAUGGGCGCAAGCCUGAUCCAGCAAUGCCGCGUGCAGGAUGAAGGCCUUCGGGUUGUAAACUGCUUUUGUACGGAACG
Molecule: ribosomal RNA, 444 nt
Filed under: uncultured bacterium
Lineage: Bacteria
Description: SSU rRNA
Rfam family: Bacterial small subunit ribosomal RNA
Source: RNAcentral